RNAcentral lists this ribosomal RNA (386 nucleotides) under uncultured bacterium. Its description in RNAcentral is "bacterial SSU rRNA". It matches the Rfam family "Bacterial small subunit ribosomal RNA", at positions 102 to 520 of the family's 1533-position model. The record is from RNAcentral.
ACGGGUGAGUAACACGUGACUAACCUACCCUUGAGUGGGGGAUAACCUCGGGAAACCGGGGCUAAUACCGCAUAACAUCGCAAGAUCAAAGGAGCAAUCCGCUGAAGGAGGGGGUCGCGGCUGAUUAGUUAGUUGGUGAGGUAACGACUCACCAAGACGAAGAUCAGUAGCCGGCCUGAGAGGGCGCACGGCCACACUGGAACUGAAACACGGUCCAGACUCCUACGGGAGGCAGCAGUGGGGAAUUUUGCGCAAUGGGGGAAACCCUGACGCAGCAACGCCGCGUGGAGGAUGAAGUCCCUUGGGAUGUAAACUCCUUUCGAUCGGGACGAUUAUGACGGUACCGGAAGAAGAAGCACCGGCUAACUCUGUGCCAGCAGCCGCGG